ACGGAAGGCAGCAGUGGGGAAUAUUGCACAAUGGGGGAAACCCUGAUGCAGCGACGCCGCGUGAGUGAAGAAGUAUUUCGGUAUGUAAAGCUCUAUCAGCAGGGAAGAAAAUGACGGUACCUGACUAAGAAGCCCCGGCUAACUACGUGCCAGCAGCCGCGGUAAUACGUAGGGGGCAAGCGUUAUCCGGAUUUACUGGGUGUAAAGGGAGCGUAGACGGUUCUGCAAGUCUGAUGUGAAAGGCAGGGGCUCAACUCCUGGACUGCAUUGGAAACUGUAGAACUAGAGUGCCGGAGAGGUAAGCGGAAUUCCUAGUGUAGCGGUGAAAUACGUAGAUAUUAGGAGGAACACCAGUGGCGAAGGCGGCUUACUGGACGGUAACUGACGUUGAGGCUCGAAAGCGUGGGGAGCAAACAGGAUUAGAUACCCUGGUA
Molecule: ribosomal RNA, 434 nt
Filed under: uncultured Lachnospiraceae bacterium
Lineage: Bacteria; Bacillati; Bacillota; Clostridia; Lachnospirales; Lachnospiraceae
Description: partial 16S ribosomal RNA
Rfam family: Bacterial small subunit ribosomal RNA
Source: RNAcentral